ACAAGUGGUAAGAAGCAAGCAGGUCCCGGGGAUCGGGCCUUAGCCAGCAGGUGGACAUCCCCUGAGGGGUCCUGGACUGUGAGAGGGUGCAGGCCGGGCUGAGGGAUGUCCCCCUCCCCAGUGCAUGAAUUCCAUGCACUGAGGCUCUAGUUCAAUAUAUUAAUUAUUCAGCUUGAUAUUUCUUUAAAUAGCAGAAAAGGAAAUCAGUGUAUGCUUACAGCACUGUAACAUUAAAAUAAAAUUACCUUACUAUGUUGUAGGGAUAAGUCAACUCAAUGAAACUAGACCUCUCCUAUUUCUCAGACACAGCAAAGGAUAGAGAAAAUUAAAGAACAUGCUUAUUUCAUCAAAUGAUCAAUCAAAUUAAGACAUCAAUGAUUAAGAUUAUGGUACAAAACAGCAGUCAAAUAUGCUACAUGAUAUAUAUUUAAACAAAUGAAGCAGUCAACUACACCUGGGUGGUCCCUCCCCAACACCCUCAGGAUCCAAGUCAGGUAACCAUCCUUGCUCGCUAGCAGCAGACAAUACAGGGCAGUAAUUGAAGCCAAAGAAAUGUGCCUUGGAGACAGGAUUUUUCAAACUGCAAUUUGGGACCCAUAAAUCGAUUUAGUGAAUUUAGCAUUUUUAAUUAAAGGGAAUGAAAUGUAAUAGAAAUUAUUGGACUGCAUCAAGGAUAAACACUGCUUUGUGGAACUUUUCAUUCAUACGUAGGUAUGUACUGGAUCGUGAUACUAAAUGUACUUCUCUCUAGGAGCAUGGUUUUAAAAAAAGAAGUUUGAAAGCUCCUACUCCAGAGAUCUAGGUCUGAUGGCUCGGGACCCAGGGCUGGAUGCUUUCCACAGUCCUCAGCUGCUACACAAAAUCUCCGCUCAGCAUGACUCCUGGAAGCCAAAGGGAGCUCCUGGCAGCGCGAAGGAGGAGCCGGACGCGCCUGGCUCCACUCGCAAGAGCACUCACUCCCCCAGCAGCCUCGGCGGGGCCUGCAGCCUCCCGGCAGGAACAUACAUGGAGUAGGAUGGUGCUGGCUGAUCCUGAGGAGAAUUCAGCCUGUGUGGAUAUGUUAGCUGAAGUGUGAGGAGCUGAGCUAAUCCCACAAAUGCAAUUUAAGGAAGCCUGGAAAUGAGAUAGUGGUGACAAUCUCUAAUUACUGUUGACAGCGAAGAGGAAGAAGCAUAAUAGGAGAGCCAGAAUCCUGCCCCCGCCCCCACCCUGCUGUUGAUGAAAACAGAACAGCAACAGCUGCCUCUUACAGCAGGGUCCUGUUUCCAUCCACAUGGGUACCAGACUCCACUCCAAGGAGAUGAAGCAAAGUCUGUUUUUCUAAACAUCAAAAAAAUUGUGUGUGUGUCCAAUUAUAUACAUCAUCUGAAUAUUGCAUUGUGUGUUCAUCACCACCCCAAAUUUUUUAACAACCCCAAGACACAGUGCUGCUUCCUCUACUAAAGCCUAUC
Molecule: long non-coding RNA, 1451 nt
Organism: Myotis brandtii (Brandt's bat)
Lineage: Eukaryota; Metazoa; Chordata; Mammalia; Chiroptera; Vespertilionidae
Exons: 3
Source: RefSeq, a predicted model, not a curated record